Molecule: ribosomal RNA, 406 nt
Filed under: uncultured bacterium
Lineage: Bacteria
Description: partial 16S ribosomal RNA
Rfam family: Bacterial small subunit ribosomal RNA
Source: RNAcentral
AUUGAACGCUGGCGGCAGGCCUAACACAUGCAAGUCGAACGAGUGGCGGACGGGUGAGUAAUGUCUGGGAAACUGCCUGAUGGAGGGGGAUAACUACUGGAAACGGUAGCUAAUACCGCAUACCAUCGGAUGUGCCCAGCUGGGAUUAGCUAGUAGGUGGGGUAAAGGCUCACUUAGGCGACGAUCCCUAGCCGGUCUGAGAGGAAGACCAGCCACACUGGAACUGUGACACGGGCCAGACUCCGACGUGAGGCAGCAGGGGGGAAUAUUGCACAAAGGGCGAAAUCCUGAUUCAGCCAUGCCGCGUGUAUGAAGAAGGCCUUCGGGUUGUAAAGUACUUUCCGCGGGGAGGCGUUACCCGCAGAAGAAGCACCGGCUAACUCCGUGCCAGCAGCCGCGGUAAUAC